UACGUAGGCAGCAAGCGUUGUUCGGAGUUACUGGGCGUAAAGGGUGCGUAGGCGGCUUUUUAAGUUUGGCGUGAAAUCUCCCGGCUCAACUGGGAGGGUGCGCCGAAUACUGAGAGGCUAGAGUGUGGGAGAGGAAAGUGGAAUUCCUGGUGUAGCGGUGAAAUGCGUAGAUAUCAGGAGGAACACCGGUGGUGUAAACGGCUUUCUGGACCAUAACUGACGCUGAUGCACGAAAGCGUGGGUAGCAAACAGG
Molecule: ribosomal RNA, 253 nt
Filed under: uncultured bacterium
Lineage: Bacteria
Description: partial 16S ribosomal RNA
Rfam family: Bacterial small subunit ribosomal RNA
Source: RNAcentral